GGGAGUAGAUAGGGCGCUGGUGUCCCUCCUGGACUUCAAAUCCAGUGGCAGGUGAGUUCCACCUGUGGUGGGUUCGAUUCCCACACACUCCCGCCA
Molecule: transfer RNA, 96 nt
Filed under: Candidatus Psychracetigena formicireducens
Lineage: Bacteria; Bacillati; Candidatus Lithacetigenota
Description: tRNA-Sec
Rfam family: Selenocysteine transfer RNA
Source: RNAcentral